This 459-nucleotide ribosomal RNA is filed under the name uncultured bacterium. RNAcentral's name for it is "partial 16S ribosomal RNA". It matches the Rfam family "Bacterial small subunit ribosomal RNA", at positions 338 to 795 of the family's 1533-position model. The record is from RNAcentral.
CCUACGCGAGGCAGCAGUGAGGAAUAUUGGUCAAUGGGCGUAAGCCUGAACCCGCCAAGUCGCGUGAGGGAUGAAGGUUCUAUGGAUCGUAAACCUCUUUUAUAAGGGAAUAAAGUGUGGGACGUGUCCUAUUUUGUAUGUACCUUAUGAAUAAGGAUCGGCUAACUCCGUGCCAGCAGCCGCGGUAAUACGGAGGAUGCGAGCGUUAUCCGGAUUUCUUGGGUUUAAAGGGUGCGUAGGCGGAUCGUUAAGUCAGUGGUAAAAUUGAGGGGCUCAACCCCUUCCCGCCAUUGAAACUGGCGCUCUUGAGUGGAAGAGAAGUAUGCGGAAUGCGUGGUGUAGCGGUGAAAUGCAUAGAUAUCACGCAGAACCCCGAUUGCGAAGGCAGCAUGCCGGCUUCCGACUGACGCUGAAGCACGAAAGCGUGGGGAUCGAACAGGAUUAGAUACCCUUGUAGUC